This 410-nucleotide ribosomal RNA is filed under the name Acidobacteria bacterium Ellin7196. Its description in RNAcentral is "bacterial SSU rRNA". It matches the Rfam family "Bacterial small subunit ribosomal RNA", at positions 32 to 450 of the family's 1533-position model. The record is from RNAcentral. Lineage: Bacteria; Pseudomonadati; Acidobacteriota.
AAUCAACGCUGGCGGCGCGCUUAACACAUGCAAGUCGCACGAGAAAGCAGGAGCAAUCCUGUGAGUACAGUGGCGUACGGGUGAGUAACACGUGGGUAAUCUAACCUUUAGUGGGGAAUAACGCUGGGAAACCGGCGCUAAUACCGCAUAAUCUCGGGAGAGGAAAGCAGCAAUGCGCUGAAGGAGGAGCCCGCGGCCGAUUAGCUAGUUGGUAGGGUAAGAGCCUACCAAGGCAUAGAUCGGUAGCCGGCCUGAGAGGGCACACGGCCACACUGGCACUGAAACACGGGCCAGACUCCUACGGGAGGCAGCAGUGGGGAAUCUUGCACAAUGGGGGCAACCCUGAUGCAGCGACGCCGCGUGAGCGAUGAAGCCCUUCGGGGUGUAAAGCUCUUUCGGCAGGGACGAUA